CCUACGGGUGGCAGCAGUGGGGAAUAUUGGGCAAUGGAGGCAACUCUUACCCAGCAAUGCCGCGUGAAUGAAGAAGGUCUUCGGAUUGUAAAGUUCUUUAAUUGGGGACGAAAAAAAUGACGGUACCCAAGGAAUAAGCCCCGGCUAACUACGUGCCAGCAGCCGCGGUAAUACGUAGGGGGCAAGCGUUGUUCGGAAUGGCUGGGCUUAAAGGGGGUGUAGGCGGUGUUGCAAGUUAGAAGGUAAAUACCUAGGGCUUAACUCAGGUGCUGCUUCUAAAACUGGUAUACUUGAGUGCAGUAGAGGAAAGUGGAAUUCCUAGUGUAGCGGUGGAAUGCGUAGAUAUUAGGAGGAACAUCAGUGGCGAAGGCGACUUUCUGGACUGUAACUGACGCUGAGGCACGAAAGUGUGGGGAGCAAACAGGAUUAGAUACCCUGGUAGUC
Molecule: ribosomal RNA, 444 nt
Filed under: uncultured bacterium
Lineage: Bacteria
Description: partial 16S ribosomal RNA
Rfam family: Bacterial small subunit ribosomal RNA
Source: RNAcentral